CGCGUGAGGGAGGGGUUCUUGGAUCGUAAACCUCUUUUCUCAGGGAAGAACAAAAUGACGGUACCUGAGGAAUCAGCAUCGGCUAACUCCGUGCCAGCAGCCGCGGUAAUACGGAGGAUGCAAGCGUUAUCCGGAAUAAUUGGGCGUAAAGCGUCCGUAGGUGGCUGUUCAAGUCUGCCGUUAAAGACCGGGGCUUAACCCUGGAAAGGCGGUGGAAACUGAACGGCUAGAGUGCAGUAGGGGUAGAGGGAAUUCCCGGUGUAGCGGUGAAAUGCGUAGAGAUCGGGAAGAACACCGGUGGCGAAAGCGCUCUGCUGGACUGCAACUGACACUGAGGGACGAAAGCUAGGGGAGCGAAUGGGAUUAGAUACCCCCUAG
This 378-nucleotide ribosomal RNA is filed under the name Funiculus sociatus. RNAcentral describes it as "bacterial SSU rRNA". It matches the Rfam family "Bacterial small subunit ribosomal RNA", at positions 398 to 793 of the family's 1533-position model. RNAcentral also lists the same sequence under 1 other name. The record is from RNAcentral. Lineage: Bacteria; Bacillati; Cyanobacteriota; Cyanophyceae; Coleofasciculales; Coleofasciculaceae.